GAUGAAGAACGUAGCCAAAUGCGAUAAGUAAUGUGAAUUGCAGAAUUCAGUGAAUCAUCGAAUCUUUGAACGCACAUUGCGCCCGCCAGUAUUCUGGCGGGCAUGCCUGUUCGAGCGUCAUUUCAACCCUCAAGCACAGCUUGGUGUUGGGACUCGCGUUAAUUCGCGUUCCCCAAAUUGAUUGGCGGUCACGUCGAGCUUCCAUAGCGUAGUAGUAAAACCCUCGUUACUGGUAAUCGUCGCGGCCACGCCGUUAAACCCCAACUUCUGAAUGUUGACCUCGGAUCAGGUAGGAAUACCCGCUGAACUUAAGCAUAUCAAUAAGCGGAGGA
This 332-nucleotide unclassified non-coding RNA is filed under the name soil metagenome. Its description in RNAcentral is "partial contains 5.8S ribosomal RNA, internal transcribed spacer 2, and large subunit ribosomal RNA". The stretch from base 1 to 120 matches the Rfam family "5.8S ribosomal RNA", at positions 35 to 154 of the family's 154-position model. The record is from RNAcentral.